Molecule: long non-coding RNA, 553 nt
Organism: Lathyrus oleraceus (garden pea)
Lineage: Eukaryota; Viridiplantae; Streptophyta; Magnoliopsida; Fabales; Fabaceae
Exons: 2
Source: RefSeq, a predicted model, not a curated record
ACAAAAACUCAACCUCACACCAUUUCAUCAUGUGAUAUCCUUCUGUCCUCUCAAAUGCCUCGCUGGAAAACUCAAUAGCUCUGCCAAGUCGGAGCUCAUCGCCGGCGGCGGCGGAGCUCGCCAUACCACCACCUUUACAUUCUUUUAACCAUCGCAACGCCCUUGUUUCAAAUCCAACAACAAUAUCUUCAAAUAUUCACUCUACAGAAAAAUCGAAGCUAAGUAAGUCGAGCCAAGAGAGGUGAUAUUAUCGCGGUGACGGAAGAAAACUCAGGCAAUGCUACAUAUGGUACGCACAUGAUGGCCACUUCUUUGAAAGAUGAUUGAUGAAUACAAUGAUGCAACCCUUUAAAGAUGAUGAAGUCCUUUGAAGAAGCUCACUUUUUAAUAGGAUCCCAUUCUUGUAGUGAGUCUUUAUUGUAAUGGAUAGUGUUUUGAUUACAAGAUUUUACCAGCUUUUUUAACAAUUCUAAUCAAUGUGUCAAACCUUUUUAUUUGUCUUGUAACUUUGACUUCAUGUAAUAAUGAACAUUCUUGACCUUUUGGAGGAACA